RNAcentral lists this ribosomal RNA (903 nucleotides) under uncultured Bacillota bacterium. RNAcentral's name for it is "bacterial SSU rRNA". It matches the Rfam family "Bacterial small subunit ribosomal RNA", at positions 1 to 917 of the family's 1533-position model. The record is from RNAcentral. Lineage: Bacteria; Bacillati; Bacillota.
UGGAUCCAGACUUUGAUUAUGGCUCAGGACGAACGCUGGCGGCGUGCCUAACACAUGCAAGUCGAACGGAGCUCCGCCCUUCGGGACGGAACUUAGUGGCGAACGGGUGAGUAACGCGUGAAGAACCUGCCUUUCAGUGGGGGACAACAGUCGGAAACGACUGCUAACACCGCAUGAUGUUCUUUGGGGGCAUCUCUAAGGAACCAAAGCUUAAUGUGCUGGAAGAUGGCUUCGCGUCUGAUUAGCUAGUUGGCGGGGUAACGGCCCACCAAGGCGACGAUCAGUAGCCGGUCUGAGAGGAUGAACGGCCACAUUGGGACUGAGAUACGGCCCAGACUCCUACGGGAGGCAGCAGUGGGGAAUAUUGGGCAAUGGGGGAAACCCUGACCCAGCAACGCCGCGUGAAGGAAGAAGGCCUUCGGGUUGUAAACUUCUUCUACCAGGGACGAAGGACGUGACGGUACCUGGAGAAAAAGCAACGGCUAACUACGUGCCAGCAGCCGCGGUAAUACGUAGGUUGCAAGCGUUGUCCGGAUUUACUGGGUGUAAAGGGCGUGUAGGCGGAGGCGCAAGUUGGGAGUGAAAUCUAUGGGCUCAACCCAUAAACUGCUCUCAAAACUGUGCCCCUUGAGUAUCGGAGAGGCAAGCGGAAUUCCCAGUGUAGCGGUGAAAUGCGUAGAUAUUAGGAGGAACACCAGUGGCGAAGGCGGCUUGCUGGACGACAACUGACGCUGAGGCGCGAAAGCGUGGGGAGCAAACAGGAUUAGAUACCCUGGUAGUCCACGCUGUAAACGAUGAAUACUAGGUGUGGGAGGACUGACCCCUUCCGUGCCGCAGUUAACACAAUAAGUAUUCCACCUGGGGAGUACGACCGCAAGGUUGCAACUCAAAUGAAUUGACGGA